GUCUAUGGUCACACUACCCUGAGUGCACCCCACCUCGUCUGAUCUCUGAAGCUAAGCAGGGUCAGGCCUGGUUAGUACUUGGCUAGAAGAAAAUAAAAUACUAGGUAGAUU
This 111-nucleotide ribosomal RNA is filed under the name Vulpes vulpes (red fox). Lineage: Eukaryota; Metazoa; Chordata; Mammalia; Carnivora; Canidae. The record is from RNAcentral.